Molecule: RNA transcript, 4141 nt
Organism: Hemicordylus capensis (graceful crag lizard)
Lineage: Eukaryota; Metazoa; Chordata; Lepidosauria; Squamata; Cordylidae
Gene name: zinc finger protein ZFP2-like
Exons: 3
Source: RefSeq, a predicted model, not a curated record
UCGAGGGGCAGGGUAAAGUGAAGGCGGCUGUGAAGGAAGGAAGAGCGAGAGUUUGCCUCCCCUGCAGCUGCUCCCUUGGAUCUGGAGGUGGGCAGCAAAAGAGAUGCGUCACUGCUUGCGGAGCCAUUUGGCUCAAGAGGAAGCAGGUGACAAUAGGAAGAUGAAGAAUGGUGAAGAACCGAGCGAGGGAUUGCUAGGAGGUGACAGAUGGAAAAAGAGAAACCAGAAGAGACUAAAAACUGGAGCAGAAGGGAAGAGCAGGAGUGGAUCACCUGCUUCUCAGCAUGAAAUCCAAAAUGUAAUGAAUCAAGAAAGAGAGAAAAGCCUGUGCCCUCCUCGUAGGAAAGGUUUGAGUCUUGAGCCAAGCUUUGAACCUCAAUGGGAAAUGCACACAGAGAAGAAACUAUGUGAGAGCUUGGAGUGUGGAAAUGGCUUCAGCACGGGUGAACCUCUUACUUUGCACCAUAGAACCUACACUGAGGAGAAAACAUAUGAAUGCUUGGAGUGUGGAAAGGGCUUCAGCAUAAGGGAAGCUCUUAUUGUACACCAUAGAACACACACUGGGGAGAGGCCAUAUGAAUGCUUGGAGUGUGGGAAGAGUUUCAGCCAGAGUGGAAAUCUUACAUUACACCAGAGAAGCCACACUGGGGAGAGGCCAUAUGAAUGCUUGGAGUGUGGAAAGAGCUUCAGCCGAAGUGGAAAUCUUAAACGACAUCUUAGAAGCCAUACUGGAGAGAAACCAUAUGAAUGCUUGGAGUGUGGAAAGAGCUUCAGCAGCAUUGGAGCUCUUAGUGCUCACCAAAGAACCCACACAGGAGAGAAACCAUAUGAAUGCUUGGAGUGUGGUAAGAGCUUCAGCCAGAGUGGAGAUCUUAAAAACCAUCAUAGAAUUCACACUGGGGAGAAGCCAUAUGAAUGCUUGCAGUGUGGAAAGAGCUUCAGCAGGAGUGGACUUCUUACAUUACACCGUAGAAGCCACACUGGGGAGAAACCAUAUGAAUGUUUGCAGUGUGGGAAGAGGUUCAGCCAGAGUAGAAAUCUUGCAUUACACUGUAGAACCCAUACUGGUGAGAAGCCAUAUGAAUGUUUGCAGUGUGGAAAGAGCUUCAGAAGUAAAAGACAUCUUACAUUACACCAUAGAAGCCACACUGGAGAGAAACCAUAUGAAUGCUUGGAGUGUGGAAAGAGCUUCAGCCAGAGUGGACACCUUAAACGACAUCAUAGAACUCACACUGGGGAGAAACCUUAUGAAUGCUUGGAGUGUGGAAAGAGCUUCAGCAGGAGUGGAACUCUUACUGCUCACCAAAGAACUCACUCAGGAGAGAAACCAUAUGAAGGCUUGGAGGAGAGCUUUUCUUGUGGUAGCAAGCAUGACUUGUCCCCUUAGCUAAGCAGGGUCCACCCUGGUUGCAUAUGAAUGGGAGACUUUAUGUGUGAUCACUGUAAGAUAUUCCCCUUAGCAGAUGGAGCCACUCUGGGAAGAGUAGAAGGUUCCAAGUUCCCUCCAUGGCAUGUCCAAGAUAGGGCUGAGAGACAUUUCUGCCUGCAACCGUGGAAGAGCUGCUGCUAGUCAGUGUGAACAAUACUGAGCUAGAUGGACCUAUGGUCUUACACAGUAUAUGGUAGCUUCUUAUAUUCCUAUGAUUGUGGAAUUAGCCUCCACUGGAUUUGAGUUCUUGCAUUACACCAUAGAAGCCACACUAGGGAGAAACCACAUGAAUGCUUCGAGUGUGGAAAUAGCUUCGCCCAGAGUGGACAUCUUAAAUGACAUCAUAUAACCCGCACUGGGGAGAAAGCAUAUGAAUGCUCCAAGUGUGGAAAGUGCUUUAGCAGGAAUGACACUCUUAGUUUACACCUUAGAACACAUACUGGAUAGAAAUCGCAUACAUGCUUGGAAUUUGGACAGAGGUUCAGCAGGAGUGAAUCUCUUACUAGGCAUCAUAGAAUCCACACUGAGGAGAACCCAUUUAAAUUUCUUUGUGUGUGGCAAGAUCUUCAGCUGGAAUGAAGAACAACUUAUACAUCCUAGAAACCAUGCCUGCAGUGUGGAAAGAGCUUCAGGUGAAAGCAAUGCCUUGCACAUGUGCAAACUCAUAGACAUGAAACUUCAGAAAAGCCUGGGAAUCUUCCUCAUUUGUGUGAAACAUGAAACCUCAUAAGAUUUCUUCCUUUGAUUCAAUUUGCUUUUACCUUUGUUGCUUUUGAAGUGUCCUGGGAACCAGUUUUGGCAGAUGUGUUUUUGUGUCCCUGCUGUGGCAGACCUGGCAGGAAAUUGCAUGUGACAAUUGGAAGAUGAAAAAUGGGGGGAAACCCAGCAGAGGAUUGUUAGGAGGUGACAGACAGAAAAAGGGAAACCAGAAGAGACUAAAACCUGGAGCAGAAGGGAAGAGCAGGAGUGGAUCACCUGCUUCUCAGCAUGACAUCCAAAACGUCAUGAAUCAAAGAAGAGGGAAAAGCCUGUGCCCUCCUCAUAGGAAAAAAGCUUUGGAGCCAAACUUUGAACCUCAGUGGGAAAUGCACACAGAGAAGAAACUAUGUGAGAGCUUGGAGUUUAGAAAUGACUUCAACAGGGGUGGAGCUCUUACUCUGACACAUAGAACUUGCACUGAAGAGAAAACACAUAAAUGCUCUAUGUGUGGAAAGAGCUUCAGACAACGUGGAUAUCUUACAUUACACCAUAGAACCCACACUGGGGAGAAACCAUAUGAAUGCUUGGAGUGUGGAAAGAGCUUCAGCUGUAGUGGACAUCUUAUAUGACACCAUAGGAACCACACUGGGGAGAAACCAUAUGAAUGCUUGGAGUGUGGAAAGAGGUUCAGCCAGAGUGGAAAUCUUACAUUACACCACAGAACCCACACUGGAGAGAAACCAUAUGAAUGUUUCGUGUGUGGAAAGAGGUUCAGCCAGAGUAGAAAUCUUACACUACACCACAGAAUCCACACUGGAGAGAAACCAUAUGAAUGUUUCGAGUGUGGAAAAAGCUACAGCCGUAGUGGAAAACUUGUAUUACACCAUCGAAGCCACACUGGUGAGAAACCACAUAAAUGUCUGGAGUGUGGAAAGAGCUUCAGUAGUAAUAGACAACUCACGGUACACCAUAGAACCCACACUGGGGAGAAACCACAUAAAUGCUUGGAGUGUGGAAUGAGGUUCAGCCGGAGUGGAGAUCUUGUAUUACACCAAAGAACCCACACUCGGGAGAAACCAUAUGAAUGUUUGGAGUGUGGAAAAAGCUACAGCCGUAGUGGACAACUUGCAUUACACCGUAGAAGCCACACUGGUGAGAAACCACAUAAAUGUCUGGAGUGUGGAAAGAGCUUCAGUAGUAAUAGACAACUCACGGUACACCAUAGAACCCACACUGGGGAGAAACCACAUAAAUGUUUGGAGUGUGGGGAAGAGCUUCAGCCAGAGUGGACAUCUUAUACGACAUAAGAGAACCCACACUGGGGAGAAACCACAUAAAUGUUUGGAGUGUGGGAAGAGCUUCAGCCACAGUGGAAAUCUUAAAAAACAUCAUAGAACCCACACUGGGGAGAAACCAUAUGAAUGCUUGGAGUGUGAGAAGAGAUUCAGCUGGAGUGGACAACUUAAACGACAUCAUACAAUGCACACUGGGGACAAACAAUAUAAAUACUUCGAGUGUGGAAAGAGGUUCAGCCAGAGUUGACAUCUUACAUUACACAAUAGAAGCCACACUGGGGAGAAACCAUAUAAAUGCUUGGAGUGUGGAAAGAGUUUUAGCAGCAGUGAAUCUCUUACUAGGCAUCAUAGAAUCCACACGGGAAAUACCAUUUAAAUUGCUCUGCGUGCUGAAAGAUCUUCAGCUGGAAUGAAAAACUUCUUAUACAUAAUAGAAACCAUGCUUCCAUUGUGGAAAGAGCUUCAGGAGGAAGCAAUGCCUUACUGCAUAUGUGCAAACUCAUACAUAGUAUAAAUAAUACACAUGAAACAUCAGACAAGCCUGGGAAUCUUCCUCAUUUGUGUGAAAUAAAAAACCUAAAGAUUUUUUCUUUUGGUUAUUUGCUUUCCCCUGUUUCUGAAGUGUCUUGGGAACCAGUAUUGGCAGAUGUGAAUUUUGUGACCAUGUUAUGUAUAAAUCUGCAUGAUCAGCUCUAUUAAUGAAUAGUGUUUUACAACC